AGAGUUUGAUCAUGGCUCAGAUUGAACGCUGGCGGCAUGCGUAACACAUGCAAGUCGAACGGUGUUGGUGCUUGCACCAGACAUAGUGGCGGACGGGUGAGUAAUGCGUAGGAAUCUGUCUUAGAGAGGGGGACAACCCGAGGAAACUUGGGCUAAAACCGCAUAUUCUCGAGAGAGGAAAGCAGGGGACCGGAAACGGCCUUGUGCUCUAAGGUGAGCCUACGUCGGAUUAGCUAGUUGGUAGGGUAAAAGCCUACCAAGGCGAUGAUCUGUAGCUGGUCUGAGAGGACGGACAGCCACACUGGGACUGAGACACGGCCCAGACUCCUACGGGAGGCAGCAGUGGGGAAUAUUGGACAAUGGGGGGAACCCUGAUCCAGCGAUGCCGCGUGUGUGAAGAAGGCCUGCGGGUUGUAAAGCACUUUCAGUGGGAAAGAGAAGCGUCUUGUGAAUAAUGGGACGUGGAGACGUUACUCACAGAAGAAGCACCGGCUAACUCUGUG
RNAcentral lists this ribosomal RNA (503 nucleotides) under uncultured bacterium. RNAcentral's name for it is "bacterial SSU rRNA". It matches the Rfam family "Bacterial small subunit ribosomal RNA", at positions 8 to 507 of the family's 1533-position model. The record is from RNAcentral.